UACGUAGGGGGCAAGCGUUAUCCGGAAUUACUGGGUGUAAAGGGAGCGUAGACGGUAAUGUAAGUCUGGAGUGAAAGGCGGGGGCCCAACCCCCGGACUGCUCUGGAAACUAUGUUACUAGAGUGCAGGAGAGGUAAGCGGAAUUCCUAGUGUAGCGGUGAAAUGCGUAGAUAUUAGGAGGAACACCAGUGGCGAAGGCGGCUUACUGGACUGUAACUGACGUUGAGGCUCGAAAGCGUGGGUAGCGAACAGG
RNAcentral lists this ribosomal RNA (253 nucleotides) under uncultured bacterium. RNAcentral describes it as "partial 16S ribosomal RNA". It matches the Rfam family "Bacterial small subunit ribosomal RNA", at positions 524 to 776 of the family's 1533-position model. The record is from RNAcentral.